CUUGCUCCGCUGACGACCGGCGCAGUGGUGCGCGACGCGUAUGCAAUCUACCUCUUACUAAGGGAUAGCCCAGAGAAAUUUGGAUUAAUAUCUUAUGUGAUAUGUGACUGGCAUCGGUUACAUAUUAAAGGUUACGGUAAGAGAUGAGCAUGCGUCUCAUUAGUUAGUUGGUAAGGUAACGGCUUACCAAGACUUCGAUGAGUAGGGGUCCUGAGAGGGAGAUCCCCCACACUGGUACUGAGACACGGACCAGACUCCUACGGGAGGCAGCAGUGAGGAAUAUUGGACAAUGGACGGAAGUCUGAUCCAGCCAUGCCGCGUGUAGGAAGACUGCCCUAUGGGUUGUAAACUACUUUUAUACAGGAAGAAUAAGAUCUACGUGUAGAUUGAUGACGGUACUGUAAGAAUAAGGACCGGCUAACUCCGUGCCAGCAGCCGCGGUAAUACRGAGGGUCCGAGCGUUAUCCGGAAUUAUUGGGUUUAAAGGGUCCGUAGGCGGGCUGUUAAGUCAGAGGUGAAAUGCUGCGGCUCAACCGUAUGCACUGCCUUUGAUACUGGCGGUCUUGAGUUAUACUGAAGUGGCUAGAAUAAGUAGUGUAGCGGUGAAAUGCAUAGAUAUUACUUAGAAUACCGAUUGCGAAGGCAGGUCACUAACUAUACACUGACGCUGAUGGACGAAAGCGUGGGUAGCGAACAGGAUUAGAUACCCUGGUAGUCCACGCCGUAAACGAUGGAUACUAGCUGUUCGGUUUUCGGACUGAGCGGCCAAGCGAAAGUGAUAAGUAUCCCACCUGGGGAGUACGUUCGCAAGAAUGAAACUCAAAGGAAUUGACGGGGGCCCGCACAAACGGUGGAGCAUGUGGUUUAAUUCGAUGAUACGCGAGGAACCUUAUCAGGGCUUAAAUGUAGAUUGACAGGUUUAGAGAUAGACUUUUCUUCGGACAAUUUACAAGGUGCUGCAUGGGUUGUCCGUCAGCUCGUGGCCGUGGAGUUGUCCAGGUUAAGUCCUAAUAACAAGCGCCAACCCCUGUCCUUUAUUUGCCCGCCUUGUUAUGUAUGGGGACUUUUAACUAGAACUGCCCGGUGCCAACCCUUUGAGGGAAGGUGAGGGAAUAACUUCAAAAAUCCUUCCCGGGGCCCUUACGGUCUGGGGGCCCCCCAACGUGCCAC
RNAcentral lists this ribosomal RNA (1170 nucleotides) under Cellulophaga sp. WED10.8. RNAcentral describes it as "bacterial SSU rRNA". It matches the Rfam family "Bacterial small subunit ribosomal RNA", at positions 79 to 1228 of the family's 1533-position model. Lineage: Bacteria; Pseudomonadati; Bacteroidota; Flavobacteriia; Flavobacteriales; Flavobacteriaceae. The record is from RNAcentral.